RNAcentral lists this ribosomal RNA (253 nucleotides) under uncultured bacterium. RNAcentral's name for it is "partial 16S ribosomal RNA". It matches the Rfam family "Bacterial small subunit ribosomal RNA", at positions 524 to 776 of the family's 1533-position model. The record is from RNAcentral.
UACGAAGGGGGCUAGCGUUGCUCGGAAUCACUGGGCGUAAAGGGUGCGUAGGCGGGUCUUUAAGUCAGGGGUGAAAUCCUGGAGCUCAACUCCAGAACUGCCUUUGAUACUGAAGAUCUUGAGUUCGGGAGAGGUGAGUGGAACUGCGAGUGUAGAGGUGAAAUUCGUAGAUAUUCGGAAGAACACCAGUGGCGAAGGCGGCUCACUGGCCCGGUACUGACGCUCAUGUGCGAAAGCGUGGGGAGCAAACAGG